AUACGGAGGGUGCAAGCGUUGUUCGGAAUUAUUGGGCGUAAAGAGCAUGUAGGCGGACUAUUAAGUCUGGUGUGAAAGCCCGGGGCUCAACCCCGGAAGUGCAUUGGAUACUGGUAGUCUUGAGUAUGGGAGAGGAAAGUGGAAUUCCGAGUGUAGGAGUGAAAUCCGUAGAUAUUCGGAGGAACACCAGUGGCGAAGGCGGCUCUCUGGACCAAUACUGACGCUGAGAUGCGAAAGCGUGGGGAGCGAACAGGAUUAGAAACCCUAGUAGUCC
Molecule: ribosomal RNA, 274 nt
Filed under: uncultured bacterium
Lineage: Bacteria
Description: partial 16S ribosomal RNA
Rfam family: Bacterial small subunit ribosomal RNA
Source: RNAcentral